GCAAGAGUAGAGACUGAGAGAGACGGAGAAGCACGAUGGCUGAGUUCAGAUGGAUUCAAAUGUUUCUGUUCCUGAUACUCAUGCUUCAGUUUAAAGCAGCAGUGACUGGACAACAUCGCCCCACAUUCCUGGUCAGACUUGGUGAUGAGGUCACUUUGCCUUGUCAAAAUGUGACAGUUGGUCAGCCUGAGUGUAACAGAACUGACUGGAUCUUCAGAUGUUUGAAUGUUGCUGACACAGUCAGGCUGAUUCAUCUUGGUUUGAUUGAAGAAAAGCACAAAAAUACAUCAGACAGACUGAGUGUUACAGCAAACUGCUCUCUGGUCAUAAAGAACAUCACAGUUCAUGAUGCUGGUCACUACACCUGCAGACACUACACAUCACAAGACCAACAACACUGUGGAAAAUCCUGUUCUUCUCUGUCCGUCAUCAACAUGACUGAAGAUGAGAACAAUGGUACAGUCAUCUUGUCCUGCUCUGUGUUGGAGUAUGAUCCAUGUACACACACAGUACAGUGGAUCUAUGAGGGUGAAGAGAAAUUCUCAGACAUGCAGAUAUCACCACCAGGCUGCACUGCCACUGUGACAUUUACAACAUCUCACCUUAAUCAGAAGUUUUUUGAGUCAUUAAAGUGUAAUGUGAUGAAUAUGAACAAUGGGAAAGUGCAGCUGUUUCCUUUCAGCCGUCAGUCCUCAGGUGGGACAACAGGUUCAUCAUUGCUGUAUAUUAUUGUUCUUGCAUGUUUAGUAGCACUCUUAAUUAUUGUAGCAUUCGUCAUAUGGAAGAAAAUGAAAGGGAAAAAAACACAAAGGGAAGACAAUGCUGUUGGUUUAAACACUGAAGUAAGUAAAGAUGGCAAUGGCUUUACUGUAAAAAACAUAGGCAUAAUAGAUAAUGUGAACAUACAAUUAUGAACAUAAAAACAAAGUAAAUAAACAAACAAAGUAAAAUAAACAAAGUAAAACAUCACAAACAGCUGCCUAUCAGUAUGUUAAAUCCUCCGUAAUACAGCUAAUUCUAAUGUUUUACCAGUCCUGGGUGUAGUAGUAAACCCAGGACUGAUAUUUAUGUACGUAUGUAAUGGAAUAAAAUAUGUAAUUCAUAUGUUACUUACCUGUGUUUGUGCAGGGAUUAGGUUUAAACCCAGCUGAGAUUCAGUCUGAUCCAGGAAACAGUCAGGAGAUGGAUGAUCUUGAGGAUGGUGUUAACUAUGCUUCCAUCAACUACACUAAGAAGGCCAACAGUAAGGCCAGUGCUCAGGUCCACGAUGAUGAAGGUACCACUGUGACAUACAGCACAGUGAAAGCUCCCUCAGCUUCUCUUGAAGUCUCCACUGAUCCCAGCAACCUGUAUUCCACCAUCACCAAAUAAGAUACUGUAUUUAAAGAUUACAUGUUUUAAUACUGUUAUUUGGAUCUUAUAUUUAGAGUUAUAUCGUCUACUUCAACAUUACAUGGGUAUACUGAAGGGUUUAUAAAAUAAAUCUAGUUUAUUUUAC
This is a long non-coding RNA of Astatotilapia calliptera (eastern happy), 1498 nucleotides long. The record is from Ensembl. Lineage: Eukaryota; Metazoa; Chordata; Actinopteri; Cichliformes; Cichlidae.